This 253-nucleotide ribosomal RNA is filed under the name uncultured bacterium. RNAcentral describes it as "partial 16S ribosomal RNA". It matches the Rfam family "Bacterial small subunit ribosomal RNA", at positions 524 to 776 of the family's 1533-position model. The record is from RNAcentral.
UACGUAGGGUGCGAGCGUUAAUCGGAAUUACUGGGCGUAAAGCGUGCGCAGGCGGUUUUGUAAGCCAGAUGUGAAAUCCCCGGGCUUAACCUGGGAAUGGCAUUUGGGACUGCAAGGCUUGAGUGCGGCAGAGGAGACUGGAAUUCCUGGUGUAGCAGUGAAAUGCGUAGAUAUUGGGAAGAACACCGGUGGCGAAGGCGGCUCUCUGGACAGUGACUGACGCUGAGACGCGAAAGCGUGGGGAGCAAACAGG